This is a long non-coding RNA of Oncorhynchus tshawytscha (Chinook salmon), 3476 nucleotides long. Lineage: Eukaryota; Metazoa; Chordata; Actinopteri; Salmoniformes; Salmonidae. The record is from Ensembl.
CCGGCGUCGGGUCAGAACUGAUGUGAGCCUUACAUCGUGUUCUGCUCUGUCCCUUCCGCACACGAGCACAUCGUCCGCGUGGACUAUGACGCCACUCAGCCCAUCCAACAGCUGGGACGUGCGUCUUUGGAAAUGCUCAGGACCGGAAGCGAUUCCAAAUGCAAAACAUUAAAACGGUAACGGCCAAACGGUGUUUUAAACGUUGUGAGCGCCCUACUCUCUGAUGACAGCGGUAUCUGCCAGAAACCUGAGCGGGCAUCCAGCUUUGUGAAGACUUUCCCCCAUCAGCUGCAUUGUGAGCAGAAGGGGAGUGCAAAUAUGAAGCAGGAGGACCCAGAGCCCAUACCGUUUAGAGAGGAACAGGUCUCUGAAACCUCAGUGUUCUUAUUCACGCCUUCCAGCGUGAAAAGUGAAUCUGAUAAUGAUCAAGACCCAUCUUAGGCUUCACAUCUUUACCAAACCCAAAGUGAAGAAAACCGAGAGAGUGACUGUCUACCCAACAACACAAGUGCAGAAAUCAAAACAGAAGUUGAUGGAGAGGACAUCAGAGUAUAGGAACCAACCGGUGACUCUCAGCCCCUCUGCAGCAAACCCAAAAUGUUCUGCAGUAAAGAGUGAAAACGGGGAUUGUGUUGAUGGGGAGGCAAGUGGAGGAUUUAUCUCAAAACUAAAGCCACUCGAAUCAAUUCGGGCUAAGAAAGAACAAAGCUUCUAAAUGUCUACCAAUGGCAGGAAAACCAGUGAGCUGAAAGUGCCAUUAGGAUCUAACACACGGGAGAGACCCUACGUGCUAUGUUUGCCAAAAAGGCUUUUGGACAGCAUACACUUUACAAGCAAAUGGAAUUAUUCACACAGAGGAGAAAUCGUUUCAAUGCGAAGACUGUGGGAAAUGUUUCAGCAGUAAGGGAAAACUGAAGAAACAUGUUAAGAUUCACACUGGGGAGGUGAGAUACAAAUCAGAGAGAAAAUAUACCUGUCCCGUAUGAAGAAAAGGCAUAAGCACAGCAUUCGGGUUUAAAAAUACAUCAGAGAAUUCACACAAGGGAGAAAUCAUUUCAGUGCCUGUUGUGUGGAAAUGUUACCCAUCAGCAAAUUAUCUUUAAAAAAAACACCAGCGCACUCGACAUUUCGGUGCAAUGAUUGCGGCAAGCACUACUGCUGCAAAAGCGCCCUGAACAUGCAUUUAAGGAUACACACGGGACAAAAAUGUUAUUGCGCAGAAUGUGGCAAAUAAAGUGCAUUCAAAAAGUAUUCAGACCCUUUGACUUUAUCCACAUUUUGUUACGUUUCAGCCUUAUACUAAAAAUGUAUUGGUUUUUUUCUUCAUCAUUCUACACACAAUAACCCAUAAUGACAAAGCAAUAUUUUUUUUUUUUUUUUGCACAUUUAUAAAAAAUAAAAAUAAAAUAAUAAUAAAUAUAUAAAAAUCACUUUUACAGAAGUAUUCAGGCCCUUUACUCAGUACAUUGUUGAAGCACCUUUGGCAACGAUUACAGCCUUGAUUCUUCUUUGGUAUGACAUGUCAAGCUUGGCACACCUGUAUUUGGGGAGUUUCUCCCAUUCUUCUCUGCAGAUCCUCACAAGCUCUUUCACGUUGGAUGGGGAGUGUCGCUACUCUCUCUACUUUGCUUGGUUCAUCUUCCCUCGAUCCUGACCAGUCCCUGCCACUGAAAAACAUCCCCACAGCAUGACACUGCCUUCACCAUGCUUCACCGUCGGGAUGGUGCCAGGUUUCCUCCAGAUGUGAUGCUUGGCAUUCAGGCCAAAGCUUUCAAUCUUGGUUUCAUCAGACCAGAAAAUCUGUCAGAUUGACCAUCAGGUUCUUGGUCACCUCCCUGACCAAUGCCCUUUUCCACAAUAACUCACUUUGGCCGGGUGGACAGUUCUAGGAAGAGUCUUGGUGGUUCCAAACUUCUUCCAUUUAGGAAUUAUGAAAGCCACUGUGUUCUUGGAGACUUUCAGUGCUGCAGACAUUUUUUUGGUACCAAUCCCCAGAUCUGUACCUCGAAACAAUCCUGUCUCGGAGCUCUACGCACAUUACCUUCGACCUCAUGGCUUGGUUUUUGCUCUGACAUGCACUGUCAACUGUGGGACCUUAUAUAGACAGGUCUGUCACUUUCCAAAUAAUGUCCAAUCAAUUGAAUUUACCACAGGUGGACUCCAAUCAAGAUGUAGAAACAUCUCAAGAAUGAUCAAUGGAAACAGGAUGCACCUGAGCUUAAUUUCGGGUCUCAUAGCAAAGGGUCUGAAAACUUAUGUAAAUAAGGUAUUUCUGUUUUUAUAAAUGUGCAAACAUUUAUAAACUUGUAUUUCACUUUGUCAUUAUGGAGUUUUAUGUGUAGAAUAUUGAGUAUUUCUUUUUAUUAAAUAUAUUUUAGAAUAAGGAGUAACGUAACAAAAUGUAGAAGAAGUCAAGGGGUCUGAAUACUUUCUGAAUGCACUGUACUUUGGUAGGAAGGCAAGGCUCACAGAUCCUUUGACAAUUCACACAGGGUAGAAAUCACACGCGCACAAUAUGUGGCCCAUGCUUUAAUGUAAAGUCAGCACUUAGAAAUCAUGUGAGGGUGCACACAGGAGAAAUCACAUAAAUGCACUUGGUGUGAAAAAUUAUUUAAAACAGCACCUGCUCUAAAACAACACUGACAAACCACACUUGUGCCUUUUGUGUGAAAAACACUUUAGAAUGACCAGUGAUCUUAAAUGCCACCAGCGGCGAAGUCAUUGAGAGAAACAAUUUCCAUGCCCUGGAUGUGGAAAGUGCUCAUGACGUUGACUAAACUUUAGCGGUCAUCAGCUAAUUCACACUGGAGAAGAACUGUGGCAAAUGCUUUAGUCAACAGGAGCACCUGGCAGGGCAAAGACUCAUACAGUAAAUAAAAAUACUAUUUAAAGAUCCUGUGCAAUAGAAAUCUUAAUAAUAUAACAACAAAUCAUUGCCUCAGUUUUAUUGGUCUAUAACAACAUUAAUGGUAUUACUUUACAAUGUGUCCCUAUGACCCAUGUAUUUAGAUGGUAGUUACAGUUGCGGUCAAAUAUAUUGGCACCUUUGCAUUAUUCACUUUCUUCUAAAAUAAAUUGAAAUUUAAAGAACGUUUGGCGUUCACACGUGUAUUUGCUUGAUUGACAACUUCACAGGACCAAGAAAAAUGUAUUGGGUUGGCAGAAAGUGAUUCUUGUUAACUGUGUAACUUAUCUAACCUGUGGUAAGUUGCAGAUGGCUACAGGGUAAAAAUAGCCAUUCAAUCAGUUCUAUUACACUUGGUUUGAUUUACAACUCUGCACAUGCAAAUGAAGCAAAUAUUUCCUUAACUUACCUCAUUUGCACUCACUGUAUAUAGACUUUUUGUUUUCUUUUGUUCUACUGUAUUAUUGACUAUGUUUUGUUUAUUCCAUGUGUAACUCUGUGUUGUUGUAUGUGUUGAAUUGCUAUGCUUUAUCUUGGCCAGGUCGCAGUUGCAAAUGAGAACUUGUUCUCA